AACGCUGAAGAGAGGAGCUUGCUCUUCUUGGAUGAGUUGCGAACGGGUGAGUAACGCGUAGGUAACCUGCCUUGUAGCGGGGGAUAACUAUGGGAAACGAUAGCUAAUACCGCAUAACAAUGGAUGACCCAUGUCAUUUAUUUGAAAGGGGCAAAUGCUCCACUACAAGAUGGACCUGCGUUGUAUUAGCUAGUAGGUGAGGUAACGGCUCACCUAGGCGACGAUACAUAGCCGACCUGAGAGGGUGAUCGGCCACACUGGGACUGAGACACGGCCCAGACUCCUACGGGAGGCAGCAGUAGGGAAUCUUCGGCAAUGGGGGCAACCCUGACCGAGCAACGCCGCGUGAGUGAAGAAGGUUUUCGGAUCGUAAAGCUCUGUUGUAAGUCAAGAACGAGUGUGAGAGUGGAAAGUUCACACUGUGACGGUAGCUUACCAGAAAGGGACGGCUAACUACGUGCCAGCAGCCGCGGUAAUACGUAGGUCCCGAGCGUUGUCCGGAUUUAUUGGGCGUAAAGCGAGCGCAGGCGGUUUGAUAAGUCUGAAGUUAAAGGCUGUGGCUCAACCAUAGUUCGCUUUGGAAACUGUCAAACUUGAGUGCAGAAGGGGAGAGUGGAAUUCCAUGUGUAGCGGUGAAAUGCGUAGAUAUAUGGAGGAACAC
This 661-nucleotide ribosomal RNA is filed under the name uncultured Bacilli bacterium. Its description in RNAcentral is "bacterial SSU rRNA". It matches the Rfam family "Bacterial small subunit ribosomal RNA", at positions 65 to 709 of the family's 1533-position model. Lineage: Bacteria; Bacillati; Bacillota; Bacilli. The record is from RNAcentral.